CACGGGUGAGUAACGCGUAUGCAACUUGCCUAUCAGAGGGGGAUAACCCGGCGAAAGUCGGACUAAUACCGCAUGAAGCAGGGAUCCCGCAUGGGAAUAUUUGCUAAAGAUUCAUCGCUGAUAGAUAGGCAUGCGUUCCAUUAGGCAGUUGGCGGGGUAACGGCCCACCAAACCGACGAUGGAUAGGGGUUCUGAGAGGAAGGUCCCCCACAUUGGUACUGAGACACGGACCAA
This 234-nucleotide ribosomal RNA is filed under the name uncultured bacterium. RNAcentral's name for it is "partial 16S ribosomal RNA". It matches the Rfam family "Bacterial small subunit ribosomal RNA", at positions 102 to 334 of the family's 1533-position model. The record is from RNAcentral.